Non-coding RNA from Cinara cedri, 231 nucleotides. The record is from the annotation of a GenBank genome assembly. NCBI's taxonomy places the organism in Eukaryota, Metazoa, Arthropoda, Insecta, Hemiptera, Aphididae.
UUAAAAGCAUAUUUUUGAAAAACGUACAGUGCACGAUUGGAGAAAGAUACCAUCCAGGAUCGGAAGGAACGAAAAGAAGCCAGCUAGAAGAAUAAGAGAAAAUACGUAAGACGAUUGUUGUCAAUAAUAUAGGCAGUCGACUUUCGCGAUAAUAACUCGAUAAUCUCGAUAUUUUUUGAAAUAAAAUCCAAGGCGAACCAACCGUCAAUACGCGACAAUUCGAAUGAGUCA